RNAcentral lists this non-coding RNA (765 nucleotides) under Graptopsaltria bimaculata. Lineage: Eukaryota; Metazoa; Arthropoda; Insecta; Hemiptera; Cicadidae. The record is from RNAcentral.
GUUUAGUUUUAUUCUAGCUAUGUUAUAUUAAGUAUUAUAUUAUUUAUACAUGUAAUUUUAUAAGUAUUAAUUUUUUUCUAAAAGAAAUAAUUUUGUUACGCAGUAUAUAAUUUUAUCAUUUAUUAAAUUUAGAUACAGUAAUUAUAUUUAGAGAGGACAAAUUUUUGUGCCAGCAGUCGCGGUUAUACAAAAUUUUCUAUUUAAUAUUUAAAGUUUCAGUUAAUUUUUCUUUUUAUUAAAUUAUAUUAAUUUUGGUGAAAUAUAUUAUGCUAUAAUAUAAUAUAUAUUUAUCUGAUAAAUUAUUAAUUAAACUAGGAUUAGAUACCCUAUUAUUAAUAAUGUAAAUUAAAUAACUUGAUUAUUAAUAGUUAAAAUCUUUAAAUUCAAAGAAUUUGGCGGUAAUAUAUCUAUUCAGAGGAACCUGUUUCAUAAUUGAUAGUCCACAAUAGAUUAUACUUUAUUAUGACUUGUAUACCGCUGUCAAGAAUGUUCUAAUAGGAAAAUAUUUUCUUUAUUUUCUAUAAAAAAAAUGUCAGGUCAAGGUGCAGUUUAAAUUAUAAAGAAGAAAUGGGUUACAUAUUAAUAUAUUUAAAUUUAGAUUAUUUUUAUAAUAUAAAAUUAUGAAAUUGGAUUUGAUAAUAAAUUUAUUAAAUUAAAUUUAUUGAAACAAGCUCUAUAUUAUGUACAUAUCGCCCGUCACUCUCACUUCAAAGUGAGAUAAGUCGUAACAAAGUAGUUGUACCGGAAGGUGUAUCUAGAAAUAUA